This 110-nucleotide small nuclear RNA is filed under the name Ancylostoma ceylanicum. The record is from RNAcentral. Lineage: Eukaryota; Metazoa; Nematoda; Chromadorea; Rhabditida; Ancylostomatidae.
GAAAUUUUUCAAGUUAUUUCUAUUAAAAAAAUCGCAAAACAAUGCGGAGAAGAUUAGCGCGGCCACUGCGCGGAGAUGACGCUCAACUUUGUGGAACGUUCCAAACUUUU